GGUUUCAAAAUGGGUUACAAGGGAUAAUGUCGGGUGUAGGGUAGGCUGAACAAAGAAGAAAAUUGGUUUAAAGUGCGGCGUUGGGAUGGGUAAAUAAUGGUAGGAAGGGAAACAUGAUGAUCGGAGUAAUAAGUGAUAAUGAUAAAAACUCGCAAGACUUUUCACUUUUUUUUCUUUCUUCUUUUUUUUAACUCGAUUUUUUUGUCACUUCUUUUUUUUUCCUUUUUUUUCGAUUUUUUUUGAAUUUUUUUUCUGAAUUUCUUCUUUUUUUUUUCAAUCCAAUACAAUAGUAAACUAAAUACAAGGAAGAAAAAAAAUUAAAUUCCAACUCAAAUUUUUUUUUGACUUUUUUUUACGUUACGAACCUACUCCGAGCUUGAUACGAAUGUCGACACUCCUCGUUUUAGUAGCUCUGAUACCAAAUAGUGUGAUUCGGCCCUGGUUAAUCGAGUCAUUUCACGUAAUUGCCCGAUCGUCGACGAGGAAUAGUUGAGUUAUCAGAAAUAGGAUGAAAUAAGGCUAAAGAUGCAGAAGUUUUC
RNAcentral lists this long non-coding RNA (539 nucleotides) under Gossypium raimondii (Peruvian cotton). Its description in RNAcentral is "long non-coding RNA (GRAI_LNC003769)". The record is from RNAcentral. Lineage: Eukaryota; Viridiplantae; Streptophyta; Magnoliopsida; Malvales; Malvaceae.